This 270-nucleotide ribosomal RNA is filed under the name uncultured bacterium. RNAcentral describes it as "partial 16S ribosomal RNA". It matches the Rfam family "Bacterial small subunit ribosomal RNA", at positions 793 to 1055 of the family's 1533-position model. The record is from RNAcentral.
GUCCACGCCGUAAACGAUGAUCACUAGAUGUGGGAUUUCUUUAUGGAAUUCUGUGUCGUAGCUAACGCGUUAAGUGAUCCGCCUGAGGAUUAUGGUCGCAAGAUUAAAACUCAAAGAAAUUGACGGGGGUCCGCACAAGCGGUGGAACAUGUGGUUUAAUUCGACACUACGCGAGAAACCUUACCCAGGCUUGACAUGUAACUGCUAUCGGGUGAAAGCUCGAGUUCCAAGUUUACUUGGACGGUUACACAGGUGCUGCAUGGCUGUCGU